This 522-nucleotide long non-coding RNA is filed under the name Dermacentor andersoni. RNAcentral describes it as "uncharacterized LOC126518740". Lineage: Eukaryota; Metazoa; Arthropoda; Arachnida; Ixodida; Ixodidae. The record is from RNAcentral.
UCAGCGAUACCAGCUGCACCGCGACUGAUAUGCCACAAAACAACGAACAUCAGAGACCACGUGACCACGGCCAACAUUACUUAAGCGCGCAGCUACAUACCUUCGAGGGAUUUGAAGCCGGCACGCUGGCCCACAUGAAGCUCAUGCCUCUGUUGGUACUGCAGGUUGCUGCCGCAUUUCGAGCCGCGCCGGAUUUCACUACGAUCGGUCAAGGGGCGGUUGUCCUGUUUCUUCCAAAGGCGCUUGCAGCAGCGUCAUGUCACCGACCUACAAGGAACUGCCUGGAUGCACCGCCAGCCAUCACCGACGAAAGGCAUCUCAGCGAUACCGGCUGCACCGUGACUGUUAUGCCAGAGAACAACGAACAUCAGAGACCACGUGACCACGGCCAACCAACCUUAAGCGCGCAGCUACAUACCUUCGUGGGAUUUGGAGUCGGCACGCUGGCCCACAUGCCUCUGUUGGCGCUGCAGGAAUCUUUGAAGCUUGCACUCAUCACUCUCCUGGUACUCUGCCUGUCAC